AUUGAACGCUGGCGGCAUGCCUUACACAUGCAAGUCGAACGGCAGCACGGGGAGCGAAUCCUGGUGGCGAGUGGCGAACGGGUGAGUAAUAUAUCGGAACGUGCCCAGUCGUGGGGGAUAACGUAGCGAAAGCUACGCUAAUACCGCAUACGAUCUAUGGAUGAAAGCGGGGGAUCGCAAGACCUCGCGCGAUUGGAGCGGCCGAUAUCAGAUUUAGGUAGUUGGUGGGGUAAAAGCCUACCAAGCCUUCGAUCUGUAGCUGGUCUGAGAGGACGACCAGCCACACUGGAACUGAGACACGGUCCAGACUCCUACGGGAGGCAGCAGUGGGGAAUUUUGGACAAGUGGGCGCAAGCCUGAUCCAGCAAUGCCGCGUGCAGGAUGAAGGACCUC
Molecule: ribosomal RNA, 393 nt
Filed under: uncultured bacterium
Lineage: Bacteria
Description: bacterial SSU rRNA
Rfam family: Bacterial small subunit ribosomal RNA
Source: RNAcentral